UGCAAGUCGAACGUGCUCCCGUUCGGGGAGAAAGUGGCGAAAGGGUGAGUAACACGUGAGCAACCUGCCUCCGGAUCCGGAAUAAUCCAGGGAAACUUGGUCUAAAACCGGAUGAAGACAUUGGGCCGCAUGGUCUGGUGUUAAAAUAUUUAUAGUCCGGAGAGGGGCUCGCGGCCCAUUAGCUUGUUGGCGGGGUAAUGGCCCACCAAGGCUACGACGGGUAGGUGGUCUGAGAGGAUGGUCACCCACACUGGGACUGAGACACUGCCCAGACUCCUACGGGAGGCUGCAGUCGAGAAUCUUCCGCAAUGGGCGCAAAGCCUGACGGAGCGAUGCCGCGUGAGGGAUGAAGGCCUUCGGGUUGUAAACCUCUGUCAUCCGGGACGAAAACAAUGACGGUACCGGAAAAGGAAGCCACGGCUAACCACGUGCCAGCAGCCGC
Molecule: ribosomal RNA, 442 nt
Filed under: uncultured bacterium
Lineage: Bacteria
Description: bacterial SSU rRNA
Rfam family: Bacterial small subunit ribosomal RNA
Source: RNAcentral